UAAUACGAGUUAUAAAUAGACAAUUUUUCCCUUAAUUUUUUUUCUCCCCUCUUCCUGCAUUUUUGGAGAAAAGGGAUCAAAUUUGCAAUAUCAUAACAGUUUUGGGUAAUACUGAUGAUAUUACAGCGAAGGGAUAGGGGGGUGUAAAGUGUCUUUCUGCAGUGCCGAGCAAUCAUUGUGUCGGAAGCAAUGAUAGACGUCAUUCGACUCAUUGGUCGGAAGUGAGAUUUUCACCCCAGUCAACUUUAAAUCCGCGUAGCAAAAAAUCUAAAUGGUCAACCCACUACAAAAUUAUGAUGAGGAGAUUGCCAAAUGUGGUCCCCAUCGUGCCUAUAAAGAUUGGAAGCAACGGAAUGUUGAGCAAAAUGCUACAACCUGUGAUGUUACACAGCCAUUUAACAUUGAAGUCAAUGGGCAAAUAAUUGCUAGUUUGAGGCCUGAUAUUAUUUUGGGAUGUUGUUAUUUUCUGAGCGGCUUAUUUGAAUGGAAAGUGUCAGAAAUGGUGUCACUGUGCAAGAGUGGAAUGAUUGACCUCAACACAAGUAUUAAAGGCAAAAGGGAAUCAACUUUAUUUGAGGCCAGAUACAUGGAACGGUUCCACCAGUUAUUUGUUAUCCCACCCCGGCACACAACAGAAUGAGGGCGGCACUUUGAGCAGUCGCCAUCGUAACACAUGAUAGUGGACUCUAGGACUUUUGCACUAACUUGGUUAGAAAGAGUCUGCAUGCCACUCCGAGAGGGCGGUGGAAUAUCCAAAUCUGUAAACAGCAGCCAAGCUCUGGUGUUUCCAACCGGCAUGUCUAACAGUCCAGAUUGUAGGGUCAGAUUAAUAUCGGCUGCCUUUCUUCCUGGUUUCCCAGUUGGAAUCUCUUUAUACAACUUGUAGACAGAUGGAGGACCCGAAGAAAACCCACGAGAUUGGACGGCGAUCCUACUCCUUGUCACGUACAACCGGGGAUUCGAAACCACGCCAGUUGACUCAAUGAAAGGCCGUAUGAUACAGCACGCACAUUCUAACCAUUCGGCCAUCCAACCCCCCACACCAACAUAGAAAGUUAAUGAAAUUCGGCAUGUUCAUACCUUGUGCAUCUUUCUAAUUGGUGAAAUAAAGAUUUUGGAUCCACCAAAGCCAGUUUAGAAGUUAUUGUGUGCGCGAUGAGCCUACCCAUACCCGAUUCCCCCAUAGUUUUAGUAUGUUUACGGUAAUAUAUCUCGAAACGCCAGCAUAAGAGCCUUUUGAAAUUUUGUAUUCUAGUAGUUUAUUCAUCUCUUGAAUCCGUGAAACAAAAAACAUUUUCCCACCAAAGCUGGUUUGGGUCGUUUUUUGAUGCAGCGUGGGCGUACCCGUUGUUUAUUGAACCCACAAACUCCACCUCGAAUCCGGGUGCUAGGAACUUUGCAGUGGUAUAACUCGAUACACCAACAUAGAAAGUUUUAAUGAAAUUCGGCAUGUGCAUACCUUAUGCAUCUGUCGAUUUAGUGAAGCCACCAAAGCUAGUUUAGAAGUUAUUGCGUGCACAGUGAGAUUACCCCAACCUGGUUCCCCCAUAUGUUUAGUAUGUUUACGGUAAUAUAUCUCGAAACGCCAACAUAGGAGCCUUCUGGAAGUUUGUAUUCUAGUAGUUUAUUCAUCUCUUGGUUCCGUGAAACAAAAAACAUUUUCCCACAAAAUCUGGUUUGGGUGCUUUUUGAUGCAAAAUGGACGUACCCCUUUUUUGCAUGAUCAGUUAGCCUAGAAUGCGAUAUUUUAGU
Molecule: long non-coding RNA, 1752 nt
Organism: Patella vulgata (common limpet)
Lineage: Eukaryota; Metazoa; Mollusca; Gastropoda; Patellidae
Exons: 5
Source: RefSeq, a predicted model, not a curated record